Non-coding RNA from Dipodomys ordii (Ord's kangaroo rat), 120 nucleotides. Lineage: Eukaryota; Metazoa; Chordata; Mammalia; Rodentia; Heteromyidae. The record is from Rfam.
CCCGAAAUCAGACGAGCUACCUUAGAACAGCCUACCACAGGGCCAACUCAUCUAUGUGGCAAAAUAGUGAGAAGAUUUUAAGGUAGAGGUGAAAAGCCUAACGAGCCUGAUGAUAGCUGG